RNAcentral lists this ribosomal RNA (760 nucleotides) under uncultured bacterium. RNAcentral describes it as "bacterial SSU rRNA". It matches the Rfam family "Bacterial small subunit ribosomal RNA", at positions 124 to 883 of the family's 1533-position model. The record is from RNAcentral.
ACCUGCCGUCUACUCUUGGCCAGCCUUCUGAAAGGAAGAUUAAUCCAGGAUGGGAUCAUGAGUUCACAUGUCCGCAUGAUUAAAGGUAUUUUCCGGUAGACGAUGGGGAUGCGUUCCAUUAGAUAGUAGGCGGGGUAACGGCCCACCUAGUCAACGAUGGAUAGGGGUUCUGAGAGGAAGGUCCCCCACAUUGGAACUGAGACACGGUCCAAACUCCUACGGGAGGCAGCAGUGAGGAAUAUUGGUCAAUGGGCGAUGGCCUGAACCAGCCAAGUAGCGUGAAGGAUGACCGCCCUAUGGGUUGUAAACUUCUUUUAUAAAGGAAUAAAGUCGGGUAUGCAUACCCGUUUGCAUGUACUUUAUGAAUAAGGAUCGGCUAACUCCGUGCCAGCAGCCGCGGUAAUACGGAGGAUCCGAGCGUUAUCCGGAUUUAUUGGGUUUAAAGGGAGCGUAGAUGGAUGUUUAAGUCAGUUGUGAAAGUUUGCGGCUCAACCGUAAAAUUGCAGUUGAUACUGGAUGUCUUGAGUGCAGUUGAGGCAGGCGGAAUUCGUGGUGUAGCGGUGAAAUGCUUAGAUAUCACGAAGAACUCCGAUUGCGAAGGCAGCCUGCUAAGCUGCAACUGACAUUGAGGCUCGAAAGUGUGGGUAUCAAACAGGAUUAGAUACCCUGGUAGUCCACACGGUAAACGAUGAAUACUCGCUGUUUGCGAUAUACGGCAAGCGGCCAAGCGAAAGCGUUAAGUAUUCCACCUGGGGAGUAC